RNAcentral lists this ribosomal RNA (253 nucleotides) under uncultured bacterium. RNAcentral describes it as "partial 16S ribosomal RNA". It matches the Rfam family "Bacterial small subunit ribosomal RNA", at positions 524 to 776 of the family's 1533-position model. The record is from RNAcentral.
GACAGAGGGUGCAAACGUUGUUCGGAAUUACUGGGCGUAAAGGGCGCGUAGGCGGCCUUCUAAGUCGAACGUGAAAUCCCCGGGCUCAACCCGGGAACUGCGUCCGAUACUGGAAGGCUUGAAUCCGGGAGAGGGAUGCGGAAUUCCAGGUGUAGCGGUGAAAUGCGUAGAUAUCUGGAGGAACACCGGUGGCGAAGGCGGCAUUCUGGACUGCAACUGACACUGAAAGACGAAAGCCAGGGGAGCAAACGGG